RNAcentral lists this ribosomal RNA (253 nucleotides) under uncultured bacterium. RNAcentral's name for it is "partial 16S ribosomal RNA". It matches the Rfam family "Archaeal small subunit ribosomal RNA", at positions 474 to 727 of the family's 1478-position model. The record is from RNAcentral.
UACCAGCACCCCGAGUGGUCGGGACGUUUAUUGGGCCUAAAGCAUCCGUAGCCGGUCAUGCAAGUCUUCCGUUAAAUCCAGCCGCUCAACGGUUGGGCUGCGGAGGGUACUACGUGGCUAGGAGGCGGGAGGGGCAAGCGGUACUCAGUGGGUAGGGGUAAAAUCCUUUGAUCCAUUGAAGACCACCAGUGGCGAAGGCGGCUUGCCAGAACGCGCUCGACGGUGAGGGAUGAAAGCUGGGGGAGCAAACCGG